AUUGAACGCUGGCGGCAGGCUUAACACAUGCAAGUCGAGCGGGGGAAGGUAGCUUGCUACCGGACCUAGCGGCGGACGGGUGAGUAAUGCUUAGGAAUCCGCCUAUUAGUGGGGGACAACAUCUCGAAAGGGAUGCUUAUACCGCAUACGUCCUACGGGAGAAAGCAGGGGAUCUUCGGACCUUGCGCUAAUGGAUGAGCCUAAGUCGGAUUAGCUAGUUGGUGGGGUAAAGGCCUACCAAGGCGACGAUCUGUAGCGGGUCUGAGAGGAUGAUCCGCCACACUGGGACUGAGACACGGCCCAGACUCCUACGGGAGGCAGCAGUGGGGAAUAUUGGACAAUGGGGGGAACCCUGAUCCAGCCAUGCCGCGUGUGUGAAGAAGGCCUUAUGGUUGUAAAGCACUUUAAGCGAGGAGGAGGCUACUUUAGUUAAUACCUAGAGAUAGUGGACGUUACUCGCAGAAUAAGCACCGGCUAACUCUGUGCCAGCAGCCGCCGUAA
RNAcentral lists this ribosomal RNA (501 nucleotides) under uncultured bacterium. Its description in RNAcentral is "partial 16S ribosomal RNA". It matches the Rfam family "Bacterial small subunit ribosomal RNA", at positions 30 to 523 of the family's 1533-position model. The record is from RNAcentral.